This 468-nucleotide ribosomal RNA is filed under the name uncultured bacterium. RNAcentral's name for it is "partial 16S ribosomal RNA". It matches the Rfam family "Bacterial small subunit ribosomal RNA", at positions 28 to 507 of the family's 1533-position model. The record is from RNAcentral.
GACGAACGCUGGCGGCGUGCUUAACACAUGCAAGUCGAACGGAAAGGCCCUGCUUUUGUGGGGUGCUCGAGUGGCGAACGGGUGAGUAACACGUGAGUAACCUGCCCUUGACUUUGGGAUAACUUCAGGAAACUGGGGCUAAUACCGGAUAGGAGCUCCUGCUGCAUGGUGGGGGUUGGAAAGUUUCGGCGGUUGGGGAUGGACUCGCGGCUUAUCAGCUUGUUGGUGGGGUAGUGGCUUACCAAGGCUUUGACGGGUAGCCGGCCUGAGAGGGUGACCGGCCACAUUGGGACUGAGAUACGGACCAGACUCCUACGGGAGGCAGCAGUGGGGAAUAUUGCACAAUGGGCGGAAGCCUGAUGCAGCAACGCCGCGUGCGGGAUGACGGCCUUCGGGUUGUAAACCGCUUUCGCCUGUGUCGAAGCGUGAGUGACGGUAAUGGGUAAAGAAGCACCGGCUAACUACGUG